AGGGAAUUCUUGAGGAGUUGGAUACUUUUCUUCCUUCAGCAUUAAUUGUUUUGUGGGAGGAGGCUGUACAUUGGUGGGGAUAAAAAGCAAGCAGUUCCUGGCCCAUAACAUUCCAGUUGAAGGUGUCUGACUGUUGGCAUGCUGGCACCAGCAUUGGAGGAAGUGAUGAGCUUCAUCUCCAGGUUCCUGUCCUGAGACCACAGCAGGAUGUGCCUUGGUCAAAGGCUUGGACUCUUGGAUCAUCUGGUGACUUCAGAAUUCUGGUCUCAGGGUGGUGAACUUUUUCUUUGAAUUCCUAACCUGUGAGCCUAUG
Non-coding RNA from Odocoileus virginianus texanus, 313 nucleotides. The record is from RefSeq and is a predicted model, not a curated record. Lineage: Eukaryota; Metazoa; Chordata; Mammalia; Artiodactyla; Cervidae.